AAGUUUCCACGCAUUUCAAAAAGGAAUUGUCGUUUCUGCAUCAGCUGGGAAUAGUUUUUUUCCAAGUACUGCAACUAAUGUUGCUCCUUGGAUCCUUACUGUUGCAGCAAGCACCAUGGACCGUGAAAUUCAGACUAAUAUCUACCUAGGAAAUUCAAAAGUCAUAAAGGUAAUUGAUUGAUAAUUAUUUACUUCCCUCACCUAAUUCAAAACAAAGAUUUCUGGUACUGAUUUACAGGUCCAUAUGUUUAGGGAUUCAGUAUAAAUCCACUUAAAAUGGAGAGCUUUUAUGGUUUGAUAGCAGGGAGCUUCGCAACGUCUCCCGGAGUUUCCCCCCAAAAUGCUAGGUAUCAUAUUUAUUUUUAAGAGAACUUCGGGUUCACUCUCGAUAAAUGCAUACUCAUGGAAUAUGUCAGCAUCCCUGCCUAAAAUUUUUACAUGCUUCUCUUAAUCAUGUCGAAAGUAUGAAGUGUCCUUAGGUACUUUAAUAGGACUUUCUUAGGUACUUUAAUAGGACUUUACACACUCAAUAAUUCCACUAAUGAUCUAUUUGUUCUGAAAUUUCUCUAUUUUUAUCGUUUCCUUGCAGUUUCUGUAAGAACAACACCUUAGAUCCCAACUUGAUCAAGGGGAAGAUUGUUGUCUGCACACUUGAGUUACUCACUGAUAACCGCAGAGAGAAGGGCAUUAUUGUAAAACAAGGUGGAGGUGUAGGGAUAAUACUCGUUGAUCCACUCGCCAAAGAUAUCGAAAUUCAGUUUGUACUACCAGGUACCAUGAUAGGUCAAGAAGAAGGAGCACAGCUGCGAGAAUAUAUGACUGUACAGAAGUAAGUUGGAUUUUUAUCUAAAUUGAAAAGAAAGAACCAAUUUGUCAACUAUUAAUUACAAAGAUAUGUAACAUUUACGAUUUAAUAGUCAAGCAGUAAAAUACUUAUUUGGUCGUUACAGGAAUCCAGUGGCCAGAUUAUACCAAACAGUUACAGUUUUGCCCACUAAGCCAGCCCCCGAAAUGGCAAUGUUCUCAUCAAUGGGUCCAAAUGUUAUCUCUCCAGAUAUAAUCAAAGUACAUACUUUAACCUUUUGAAAUUUCCCUAUUGGAAAUGCAUUUAAUGAGCUUUACAGUGAAUAUGAACAAUAAAAAUGAGGAAAGAGAAGCCCAUUGUAAUUUCCUUAAUUUCUUAAAGAAAAAUUUCACAUACCUGAACGCAACAACCUUGUCUUCUGAUUUCAGCCCGAUAUAACAGCACCUGGAGUGAAUGUUUUGGCAGCAUGGUCUCCAGUUGCUACCGAUGCUACUGCUGGUAGAUCCCUUGACUACAACAUAAUCUCUGGUACUUCCAUGUCUUGUCCACAUGUUUCUGCACUAGCUGCCAUUGUAAAAUCCUCUCAUCCUUCAUGGAGCCCUGCAGCAAUAAAGUCUGCAAUAAUGACAACAGGUAACUUUUGAUGAUUAAAAAACAGAUAACCGGUUAACAUAAUACAUCCAUUUAUUCAUUUUCAUGUAAGCGUGAUUUUUUUUGGAACAGCAACAAUUCUUGAUAACACUCGGAGCUUUAUCAGAAGACAUCCAAAUGACACUCAGACCUCACCUUUUGACCAUGGAUCAGGCCAAAUAAAUCCAGCUGCAGCAAUUGAUCCUGGUUUAGUUUAUGAUUUGGAUUCUACCGACAUCAUUGAUUUCCUCUGCAGCACUGGUGCAAGUCCUGCUCAGCUGAAAAACCUUACUGGUGAUACAAUGUAUUGCAAGAACAAUCCCACAUCCCCUUAUGAUUUCAACUAUCCUUCAAUUGGGGUCUCUAAUAUGAAAGGAAAUCUGUCGGUGCAUAGAAAGGUGACAUACAUCGGUAAAGGGCCAACUGUUUAUAAAGCAAAAAUGGACUACCCGGAUGGUGUAAAAGUCUCAGUCAUACCUAGUGAGCUCAAAUUUAAAAAUCCAGGUGAGAAAAUGUCUUUUAGGAUAGAGUUUACACCCUACAAGACUAGUAACGGAGACUUUGUUUUUGGGGCCUUGACUUGGACUAACGGGAUCCACAGGGUAAGAAGUCCUAUUGGUCUUAAUAUACUCUCAGUUUAGGAACCAAAUUUAAUCAUAUGUAUUAAACAAUUGAGAAGUUUCUGGGAUUACAUAUUGCAAGGGAUGAUACCUUUCAGAAGGAAUUAAAUUGUAACAGGCAUUUCAAUUAUAACACCAAAAUCAUACCAGCAUGAGCUACACAACUUUAGCUAACACCGUAUUAAGCAUUUAGCAUCAUUUACGAAAUGGACACCUUCAUUCAGACACGUAAAAUUUUGCCCAAUGAUUAAUGAUAGCUCUUUAACCGCAUUAUUUUUUGAUAAAAACUUAAAAUGAGAAUUUCUUUCUUUCUCCUUUUUCCUUAAACCUACCUUCUUAUGUUGAAAGUAUGCAUUUGGUAAUAUUGACAUUCCACUGGCAGAUUUGACAUAAGCAUGUUUAACCGUACACGGUACAUACCCAUAAUAAACACUAGUUCAGGGAUCAUGGCGUCUAUGAUAGAUGUCUUCACAACUCCCAGACUGUGCUUUUCUGU
This 2551-nucleotide long non-coding RNA is filed under the name Olea europaea (common olive). RNAcentral's name for it is "long non-coding RNA (OEUR_LNC011857)". Lineage: Eukaryota; Viridiplantae; Streptophyta; Magnoliopsida; Lamiales; Oleaceae. The record is from RNAcentral.